Molecule: long non-coding RNA, 226 nt
Filed under: Cicer arietinum (chickpea)
Lineage: Eukaryota; Viridiplantae; Streptophyta; Magnoliopsida; Fabales; Fabaceae
Description: long non-coding RNA (CARI_LNC001472)
Source: RNAcentral
UGAAGCAUAUGUGGAACCAUUCUCAAAAUUAAUGUUUCCUUUUUUUUAUCUCACCAUGUCUUAUCCAACAUGUAUAGCUUUGAUCAAUUUCAUGUCAUACUAAAUGUCCUUCCAAUUCAUCUUCUCUAACGUGUUUUCCAAGACAACAUUUUAAACAAGGACAAACGAAUCUAUUUGGAUCUUUUGCAUUCUUCACUACAAACUCAACAAAGUCAUUCACUCCAUU